RNAcentral lists this ribosomal RNA (482 nucleotides) under uncultured bacterium. RNAcentral's name for it is "partial 16S ribosomal RNA". It matches the Rfam family "Bacterial small subunit ribosomal RNA", at positions 30 to 507 of the family's 1533-position model. The record is from RNAcentral.
AUUGAACGCUGGCGGCAUGCUUUAUACAUGCAAGUCGAACGGUAACAGGCCGCAAGGUGCUGACGAGUGGCGCACGGGUGAGUAAUGCAUCGGAACGUGCCCAGUCGUGGGGGAUAACUACUCGAAAGAGUAGCUAAUACCGCAUACGAUCUAUGGAUGAAAGCGGGGGACCGUAAGGCCUCGCGCGAUUGGAGCGGCCGAUGUCAGAUUAGGUAGUUGGUGGGGUAAAGGCUCACCAAGCCAACGAUCUGUAGCUGGUCUGAGAGGACGACCAGCCACACUGGGACUGAGACACGGCCCAGACUCCUACGGGAGGCAGCAGUGGGGAAUUUUGGACAAUGGGCGCAAGCCUGAUCCAGCAAUGCCGCGUGCAGGAAGAAGGCCUUCGGGUUGUAAACUGCUUUUGUACGGAACGAAACGGCUCUGGUUAAUACCCGGGGCUAAUGACGGUACCGUAAGAAUAAGCACCGGCUAACUACGUG